CGGGGCGUAGCCUAGUCCGGCUUAGGGCACCUCGUUUGGGACGAGGAGAUCGCUGGUUCAAAUCCGGCCGCCCCGACCA
This 79-nucleotide transfer RNA is filed under the name Bacteroidetes bacterium QS_9_68_14. RNAcentral's name for it is "tRNA-Pro". It matches the Rfam family "tRNA". From Rfam's summary of the family: Transfer RNA (tRNA) molecules are approximately 80 nucleotides in length. The record is from RNAcentral. Lineage: Bacteria; Pseudomonadati; Bacteroidota.